AUAUCUCAAGAAACCAUUUCUAGUUGCUUUCAACUUGUUUUGGAUUCAACUCGUGAUCUUAAUGAUGAAGGACGCCACAACCCAUUAGCAGUCAUCUGAGCCGUCCAGAUCUCUUGAGAGCCUCUUUCAGCAGUGACCUCCUCCCAGGACUCCACUGUGCACAACUGUCAUACAGCUCAACACUGUUGUCCCUGGAUUACCUCGCUGCUUUGAUCUGUCACUGAAGUUGCUGUUUGUUGGCUAAUUCUCUGGUGGGUGGUUCAGAUACAAGGCCCCGAAACCUCAAGAAGGCAAGAGGUCAAAGGAUGCAACAGAGGUGAAGGAAAAGAGUCGUGGCAAAUAAACCUUACUAUGACCUCCAGAAGUCAACAAGCUCUGUUUUGAUGUUAGAAGGGAGAUGAAAAUAGAAUAUAUAUAUAAAAGAAGAAACAAAUCCAAAGAUUACUGAAAUUCAACAGUGCUUCAGAUGAUCACUCUUCAGUGAAGAAAAGGACUUUUCACUCUCGACAUAGGGCAAUGCCUUUGAAAUCGAUGAGCUUAAAUGAAGCAUAGACUGGGGACAUCUACCGUUCUCAUCACAGCUGCUGCCACAUCAUGGAGAGUAUUGCUAACACAAUGGAAGAGGAAUUAAGCUGCCCAUCUGUGCAAAGUAGGCUGUUUUGUCUGCUCACGGUUGAUUAGUGGGAGCAAAUGGACUUUUGCUAAUGUUGGGGGCACAGUUCUGGAAGAUGGAAGACCCACAUUCGAGUCCCUCCUCUUGCUGAUUAAGACCAUCACACCUUGGACGACCCGCCUUUACCGAAGAUCAGCAGCCCCGACACCAAGACAUCGCUGGAUGAGAGGUAGCCGUGGAAGGAAAUGGCUGCCCCAGUUAGAAGCUGAGAAUGAAAUGACUCCUUUUCGGCUGCAGCAUUAGAGGGGCCUUCAGUAGACCAUGUGCUACAUGAGCACUCAUCUCAGCCUUGGGAACACUCCUGGGAUGCACUUUUUUUUUCUCUAUCCAACCUCCAGGUGUUUGAGCUAGUUAGGAACCAAAACACAUGCUUCCUACAGUGAGAAAAAUCAGAGUCUAUAUGAAAGCAAUGAACACUACCUCUGCAAGUAAAAUAAACAAGAACAGAGUAACAUUUGGAAGACUGGCCAUCUUGGCCCACGCAGCUCUUGUCCAGAUAGCAGCCACCCUUCCCUCCUGUUCCUGACUAUACUAGUACAACUUGGAAUCACCAAAUUUAAGCACGGCAGAGCUUUGUUUUACAAUUACAGCAGUAAACUAGGUGUUUUUCUCCUUGUCAAACCUUCACCAACAGUUGAACGUUUAUUCAAGUCACAGUUGUUGCUGAAGUUCAGUGUCUCUGUGGGUAAAGAGAUAUUAAUGGAAAUGGGGAAAUACUGGGGCAGUGCACAAAUUGCUCUAGAAAAACCUGUGAAAGGGAAGACUACCUGUUUGUUUCUGUCUACUGCUUUGCCCUCGUUCCCAAGUCCUGGGAAAAAAAUCUCGGAAAACAAUUUAACAAUGUCUUAGGAAUAAAAUAUACAUCAGGAAUUCAUCUGGUGAAAACUGUGGUAUGUACAUUAAAAUAUGCAGAACUAUGAGAGUGAAUGAGAGUGAAUCUACUGCAGGCAUGUGUGUACAUACUCAGUUUUUUGAUUAGUGAUCAGGUAAUUGAACUAGAUGAUCUUCGAUGGUCCCAUCCAACUAUGCUAUACUAUACUAUUCUAUACUAUGCUAUUCAUGAAAGACACAGUAGUUUUGGUUACAGAAUUAUCUUUAAGAAAUAUACAGAUCUGAUAAUUGUAUAAUAAGUGAAAGUACCAGGGACAAUAUAAGACUGAUUUUAGGUUACCAGCAAUACAACUUCACUUAUUUGUGAUGCUCCAUGACAGCUAACUGCAAUUUAAGUGGCUCCUAAACAGUAUAAUGAUCUUCUCUAGUUGGUCUGCCUUGAAUAAGUUAUUUGGUUAGUUGUUUUAAGUUGAAAGAUGAAAAUGACUCUUCAUUUGAAUUCUGAGAACCCUAAUUUAUUUGAACUUUGAUGCCUUCUGUUUUUAUGUGUUUAUUUCCAACGCAAUAUGACUGUGUUCAUUAACCAAAAAUAUCUGCCUCUCUGCUAGCUGUUCAGCUGGCCUUUUCAAACAUAUGGCUGUUGUUUUAGCUUGUUAUGAUGUGGCCUGUCUUGUCUUUGGCUGGUGUCAUUACAGGUGAUUUUCAUUGUGGAGUGUCGUUGGGAUGGUAACAUGAAUGGGUAGGGUUUUAACUUGCAGUGUCAGUUAGAAGGGACUCUUUCAUUAAGUCAUAUUUUAGUGGCGUUGAUAAUUAUGCUUUUCUGGAUAUCCCUAAACAAGGUGCAAGUAAAGUGAACUCAUCAGAACAGCUAAGACUUGUUUACCUCUGGAAGAGGUGAAGAGAAACUGAACCAAUACGCAGCAUCGUUCGCUGUGAAGAAUUCUCACAAAAGUCAGUAGGAGUUUUGAAUAAACAUUAACAGCAGGGUAGUGUCCUUAGAGGUUAUUUCUGUUUCAGAUGAAUCUUUCUGUGCAGCAUUACCACCUGCGCUGUCCCUUGUUUGAUAAAUUAAAAAGAAGCAUCGCAAAUAUUUUAAUAAAAAUCAUAGAAUGCUGCCAAUGUUUUAAAGAACGAGGCAGCGCUACAGAUAUUUUAAAUUCCGAAUACUGGAUGACUUCAAACUAUUUCUGACUCUGGGCUUGUUGAGCAGCAUGAUCCAUCCACCUAAACAAAAUCAAUAAAUGAAAAAUAGAGUGAAAUAACCUUUCUAUCAACAACACAAACACCAAAGUCUGUACUGUGUUUUCUGGAGAAAGGUUCAGAGGGCAAGCCAUAUGUUUGAAUGUUCAUUCUUCCCUUGCUGAUCUGCAGAAAAGUGCUCAAGUUGAGCAAGAAUGGAAAGGAAGUAUAAUGAGCGUAAUGUUUUUCAGUGCUACCUGUCUUAACUUGCUGCAUUUCCUUGUAAUAAUAUUACAAUCUGCUUAAUAGGUACAACUCAGUCUUCUAUUCAGUGAUAAAGAGGCUUGGUUCUCAGUCAUUCAUACUUUCUAAACAUGUUACUCACUAAACAAUUUUGUGUAAUUUACUAUUAUAGCAGAAAAAUAGUUCUGCAAUUUUUUUUUUCUAGCAAGGAUAUACCAAUCAUAUUUUUGUCUUUAAGAUGUGUAUCCCAUAGUGGAUAACACAUUCUCUGCUGCUGAAUUAUAAUUGAAAGCUCAGGUCAAAUCAUAGGAAAUACGUCAGAAACUCUUUUCUAACUCUGCCUUGUGUGUUGUCUUGUUUUUGGAAUGUCAUUCCUCAUAUGUUCUCAUUCAUUUUUCUUGUCUUUUCUUGUUACAGGUAUGUGUUUCAGGGCAUGUGUGUUUGUCCUUCCUGUAGAAUCAUACCAAAUGUUUCCCAAAACUGUUGAUAUUUGUUUUCUUGGAACAGUUUGUCUUUGUUUAGUGGACUAUUCCCUCUGUUACCUAAACAAUGCCCAAGAACUGUUGAAUUUACUGUUUUAUGAUGGCUUUUCUUCGUGUUGCAAUCCCCUCCUUCAGAAUAAGACAGCAAGAUGUCUCAGUUUCACGUGUUGUUGUGCCCCCAGCUGGACACCAUUUAGAGACUGCUCAUUUAUUAUUUCUGUUGUUCUAAUAUGGAAGAAGCUUAAAUAAGAAAGUGUUUUUUUAUUUUAUUUUAUUUUUUUAAAGCAACACUGUUUACUUUCUGUCUAUCCUUAGUCAUGUCUAUCCUUAGUCGUGUUUUCCUUUGGAAAAAGAGAAAUCAAGUCAGUGCUGCAGCAGAAUCAACAGACUAUCCACGGUGAGCAUCACUGUGUGCACCACAGGAUAUUAGAGUAGUUAAUAAAUAUGUGCAUUAUUAAAAUAGCUAUAACUAUUGUAGCUGCUGCAAAUUGCAUCUGAUAGUUUGCUCUAUUGAUUGGGGAAAAAAAUGAAUUUCCAAUUUGACAGAACUUCAUUUUCCCAUCUCUUUCAUUUCACUGAAUGGUAGAUCCUUCAUUUAAGGAAGCUUAAAAACAAUAUCUGUGAUUCUUACUACCAUCAUAUGGAUAGUUAUCUAAGGACAGUGAAUUCCAACAACAAACUAAUGUUUCAUGGAUUACCAAACAGCAAACAAGUUGACGAUGAUUCUCUGCUAACGUAUUUGAAUUUUCACUGCAGCCAAUGAAUACUGAUGCACAAUGUAGAGUGCUCAGAAACUUUUUUUUUACAGCUUGAUAUUAAGUUUUCUGUGCCCUUAGGAACGUUUGUGUUUGAUGUAAGUGCUAGAAGUCUUUGAUUAUUUUCAAAAUAGGAACUGGAAAUAUUUUCCAAUUAAGAAAUGUGUCACAGUUUGGAAUUCUUUGAUUAGAAUACUUCACUUGACAAUGAACAAGGUGGUGGCUUCUGGCUUGCAGAGGAAGAUGAUGUUUUGCUGUAAAAAGGUAACCGUGGAGAUGUCAGUAGAUGUUACUUGUUGAACAUGAAUAUGCAAAUGCAGAGUUCAAAAACAAAAGAGAUAUUGUGCCUUGGGAAUAUUUCCUUUGUUGUUUCCUUUCCUCUUUUCUUCUGGGGAGAGAGAGUUGUUAGGAGACUAAGAAUGUUAAUUACUAUGAUAAGCGUAUAAAAACAUUCUGAGUAAAGCCUAUUGUAUGAGGGGUACUUUCUUGAGUUUAUUAGCUGGUGAACAUUCUGCUGUUUAACAAAAAUUCUAUUCAAAUGUUGAAGAGAUGAGAAUUAGGGUUUUUUUUUUUUGCUGCUGUUUUAGGACUUUCUUUUCCACUUACUGUUGUCAAGGAGAGAAUGAAGCAAAAGCAAAAUAGUCUACGUAAUGAAGUGACGAAAAAGAAAAUGUAAUAUAUAACUUGGUGAAUUUUCCUUGAUAAUUCUAUAAGAGGAGAAGAAUUAGGUGAUAAAUUAACUGUAAGAAAGAGUGGUAUCUUGCUUCAUGGUGAGUCACAAGGAAAUCACAAAGGGAUUCAGUGUAAAAUAAUUUUCAUGGGGAAAUAUUAGUAGAAGCACAAAUUGAUUACAUAGAAAAUCCAUUGUCAUUUAGCACUUAGUUUACAUUUACUGGUAAAAUCUGUUUUACAGCAGAGAGACAUGCUCAUGUACUUGGAAUACUCUGUUUCCUAGAAUAGGAAAGCCCCCUGGUUGAAUAGCCAAAGUGGAGCCUCUGAGUCAAAAACCAUUUAUUCUGCUGCACGCCUUGUAAGGUUGAUGGCUUUUGUUCAUUUGGGUUGCUUCAUUUGUUUUGUUGUGUUUUGUUUUCCAUAGUUUUUUUUCCCUUAUGUUUUCAAAUUCAACUAUUCAUUCUCUGCCAAAAAAAUUAAACUGUAACAUAACCAACUCUUUAAAAAAAUUAGGAGCUCAGGCAAAACUAUCAGUGUGGUGACUGUACUCAAUCCCAGCCGGUCUAGGUCUGCCUAGAGGUAGCUAGUGAGAAUUUCCCUGACAUGUACACUAACUAGCAAACAUUUUCCUUUCAAUUUUAUCUCUCUGCCCACUAUACACCUCCAGCCUUAUCCUAUUUGUCACACAACAUUUGCUAGAGAUAAAUACAGUGCAGGUAGACCUUGCAUUUGCUUUUGAUGAUACCUUUCAGAACUGACCUUCAGUUCUCCUGUAAUCUCAUUGCAGGGUCUUAUUUGGGCAGAAGUUACCAAACUGUACUAAAUUAUCCUGAGCUGUGGCGGUCUGGAGAUAACAACAAACUAAAUGAUGAACAAAAGGAACGCCAGCGUGAUGUUGGAGCCUUUUGGUGCUUAUGCUCCAUAUGUAUUAACAUUCUAGAUCAUUCUUUGGAUCUGAUGCAGUAGGCAUUUUCUGAGCACUGAUAAGGCAAACAAAAAACAGCAGGGAAAAUUGUGCUGCCUUCUUGGUGUAUAAAAACAAUAAUCUGGGGUAUAGACAAUAUUUAAUAUUUUUUUGUAUUUGAUUUCAAGACCUGCAUUAAACAUGCACUCUGCCCACAGGAGGAUUUUAGUCGUUUGAUUUUGAGUAUUCACUAGCAAAUCUCUCUCAGUCAUUCCUGUUGAAAUUAUGGCACUUAACAUGUUAAUGUAUUCCUUUUAAAAGAGUCUAUUCCAGAUUUCCCAAAUUGAUACUUUAUAAUCAGAGUAAUAAUUAUUAUUCUGAAUCCAGAGAUACUUCAUUUCAGUUAUAAUGUGCAACCUGAGAUAACUUCAGCUGGAAAACGACAAGAGAGACAGCCUGAGAAAAAGUCUUUACUGCUGUGAAAUCACCAAAUGAAAUUGGGUUUGGAUUUAACAUUUGUAACUUUUAGAGAUUUCAAGAGAAAGAGGUACUCAUGCAUACAUGAAGUUCAUCAGUGAAAAAUUCAUUGUCAUGCACAGUAUCAGCUGAUUAGCAAAACCUUCCUUAAUUUCCUGGCGCUAUAUGGUCUGGUGAUGUUAUACAGCACUAGUCAGGAUCUUGGAUUCUCAAGGCUGUUUGUUCAAACACGAGGAAUUCAGUUUACCUACCUUCUUGUUAAUGAGAUUAGAUUGCUUCCUUUCAUUUUCACCAUUAAUCAGUCUUGAUUUCUUCAUGGCCAACUUGCCAUGUGGCAGCUUUCAGUGCUGGUAAACAAAGUAACAAAUGAAAUAAAUAAUGUAAUCCGUAGGCUGCUGCUCUAUAUUAUUUCAGUAUCCCCUUGGAUAAGCCUUCAGUCUCAUUAACAGACUUUGCAGAGCUGCUAGACCCUUUAAAUUCAAUGCAGAACACUCAUCCCUGUUCAUCUGGAAGAACAGUGCCUGUUUUAGUUAUUUUGCCUGAUAACGUGCGUCAGUUGAUGGUUUUCUUUAGCUUUCAAAGUUUACAUAUUACAUACAUUACAUAUUACAUACUUUACACUUACGUUUGAUUUGCUGGGACAUAUCCACGUUCAGGAGCUUGUGGAUUAAAUACAAAUAGUGUGUGCCUGGUUGCUACUCCAUUCGCAGUGAAUUAAUAGCUACGGGUGAAUUACAGCAGUUGAGCCCUGGAAAGGUAACAUAAUAUUUCACAGACUUUUCCCCAUGGGUCCUCAAGCUUUUCAGAUGAAUUGGGAAACAGAUGCCAUUAAUUUUUUUCCAAAUUGUGUAAGCAGAUCUCACUGUGUUCCUACUGCAAUCCAGAAAGUGGGCUUCAAGUCAGCAAAGUCUUAAGUAAAAUGCAUCUAUCUAAUUGUAUAACUGCCUGCAUGCAGCUGAUUGAUUGAUUGGAAAUUCAGAUGUAUGUCAGAAAAAUAUCUGACUAAAUAGGCAAGAAGGAAAAUGGUGCAUUCUUCCUGCUUUCUUCUAAGAAGAUAAGUUAGUUUAAAGCCACUUUGUAGUUGUAGCUAUACUUUCAAGGGAACCAUUCAAAAUGCAUUAAACUUGUACUUAGGUGAUGUUAGCCUGUGGGUAUUAAUCCAACUGAGCAUCUGCCCAGAGAAGUGGACAGAUCGCUGGUGAUCCACAACCUCUGAGGAUCAAAGCUUAGUGAUGGUAAAUAUUUAAGCAGGGGUUAUAUUAAUGCAGUCAUUUCUACUUAGUGUAGUAGCAAUGGGCUCUAAUGAGUAAUUAAUGCCUUCUAGGAACGGUGCUACAUUUGAAGCGGUAGGAAAUGGAUAAAUAUUUGCUGGAGCAGGGAAAUGCAUGCAGUCUGACACUUAGGGUGUUUUUCCAUUGAAGAACUGAAUUCCACUGAAUAUUGGUGAAUUCCAGAGAGGAAAGGAAGAGAAAAUAUAUGUAUACCUCAGACUAGAGUGCUGGCAUCCAUACAGAGCCUGUAUUUCCCACAGACUUGUAGUGCAGACCAAUUUUCACUGGCUGGUUCAAACAGCAUUACUUGCCUAUGGGCUCCUUUUAAUGCUAGGGAGAGAUGCGCUCACUCUCAAUCCUGUAAUGCCAGAGACUGUGUCUGGCCUGCAGAGCAUUUGAAUUCUAGGAUGCACUUUGUGGUCUUAGAGCUCAGUGUUUUUUUGGUUUUCUUUCCCAGAAAUGAGCUCCUGGGCUUAUUCUGACAUGAGUUAUCACUCAGAGGUCUGUGGGAAUGCCUUAGGACCCCGCAGCUCAGGUGUAGCUGGCAGCCCAGCAGAUCUCUGCAGGGCUGUCAUCGUAGCUUUCCUCUUGGCAGCCACAUAAUCUGUACCACACUGCACAGAUUUGUGCCUUUCAUGUCACAUAGUCAUGUGUCCUCUGAGUGCUACUGAUGCAGGAACACAAGUGCCCGGCCACUGUACACUGCUGCUACAUGUGAAUCUCUCUGCCAGAUUAGGUUUAAAAUAUUAAUCUACAGCAUUGUGAUAGGCUUCCUAGGCAAUAGCCACAGCUUGCAGGGCUUAUUUGGGAUAUUUUCUUCCAUAGCUGGCAUCUUCAGAGACUGGAGAGAAAAAUAUCUUCAAUCAGAGUCUCUUCUCUCCCUUUCUUUCUCUCUCCUUUUCUUUUCUUUCUUUCUUUCUUUCUUUUUUUUUUUUCCCAGCUCUUUCGUGGUUACCAAUGCUGUCCUGGCUGACGUUCUUGGAAGAUUAUGGCACACUGAUCCAGGAUUUGUAAGUGAUGUGCUCCAACCUCUAUAGAAAUACCUCUUCCAGUUUGUAGGGGCUGCUGUUUUAGGAUGUUACGUUACAGCUUUGGAAGAACUUCAUGAUCAGAAAUAUAGAAAACUAACAUUAAUGCUUCAAAAGAUCACCUGAAGGCACUGUAAGGAGUAGUUUCAGUAACCUCAAACAUGAUGGUUUUGGCAAAAAACAAGCAAACAAAAAACAGUAUUCCUGAUGUGUUUUUUGCUUCAGUUGCAAAACUUCUUCAGUUAAUCAGUCAUAUAUUCAUUCUGACUUUUUCUUUUCUUCACUGUUGUUAGAAGCAAAUAAGCUGACCAACUGGAAAUCUCUUCUAUAAUCUAGUCAUGGUCACUAGACUGAAACAUAAUCUUUGAAAAUGGUUUGCUAACUUUAGCUUAAUUUUUAUUUUUAUUUUAUUUUUUUUUAUUUUUUUUACAAUUUUUUUUUUACAGUCAGCUUGGGAAUGAGUGGUACAGGCCUGCUCCAUGCCCACCAAAGCCAAUGGAAAGCCUCUAGACUUUAUGAAGAAGCUUAAGUUCAGUCCACUAGCCAGCAGUAAAUUUGACACGCAAAUGCGAUAUAUGCUAUUAAGUGAUUUAUAGCAGAAUUUGAGACUGCUGGUAUGUGUGCUAGCAAACAAACCAGAGAGGGAACUAGUCUUCAGCUUGAUAUUUCCAUUCAACUUCCCAGAGCGCUGUAUAAUUAACAGAAUUUGCCUCCUCUUUUUUAAAUGAAAUUCUUUUCAAAUAAGGUCAAAACAAAUGAAUAUGGAAAUAAAUGAGCUCUUUAAUCAUGGAGAACACCAUGGCUUUUGUAUGAAAUACCUCGGUACAUUUGAAUUCAUUAUGUUCAAUUAUAAGACAGAUGGUUUUGCACUUAGUGUCACUCCUAAAGUCAGCACUCACAAAUAAGUGAGUUGGGGCAUGAAGUACCUGAGUGCACCAGCCAUGCUCCCCUCUGUGCCAAGAAAAGAAUUACCCCUGCAAGGCAAGUUUUGACCUGCAGGGCACAAUGGAGACAGAAAAGAUCAUUUAGACAAUCACUAUAGAGUAGCUGAUGAAAUGUAAGUUCUGGCGACAUUAUAAAACAGGCAGCUUCACAGGAAAUUUUCUCGUUUGCUUUCUGUAAAUCUCACCGGGUUGUCUCCUACCACCGUGUUUCAAAUAUCACCGGCAUAUAAUAACAGAUUCAGUGCUUUCAAGAGUAAAGUGGCUCUCCAUCACAGGAAUGAUGCACAAGCAGUGAGCAAAGGCAGAUAGUGCAAAGGUUUCCUAGCUCUUAACGCCUCCACUAAGGUCCCCUUUGAAGAGAACUCCAGUAUAUGAGGAGGGAAGGAGCAAGGAGCAGGCUGCAAGGAGAGCUUCAGGACAUGUCUGACCUACAGAGCAGACAGUGCACCCACUGACUGGUCACAUCAGCUCUUUCCAUUUCCUUACUAAUGCCCUGGCACUCUAUGAAAAUGAAUGGAGCGCAGACACAGAACCCAUCCAGAUUUACUUCUGUUUUUCUUUUUAUUAGCAAUUCUGUUUGUUUUUUUUUUCCUCAUAUUUUUAUUUGUUUCUUCUUGCUAUCCUGUCUUGUGCAUUUUUAAGCUAUCCUAUAUUUCUUUGCUUUAUGCUUUAUUUUCGGAUUCCACAAACAAUGCUCCAUAGUUAAAACAAACGUCACUUUGCUGAACACUCUGCUUCAAAAAGAUUUCUAGGAAGAACUUCUCAGUGCUUGCAGUCCUGUGUGUUUAGUUGGGGCUCAAAGAUGUGAAAUACAGGCUUUCUCCAAGCUGUUUUGAUUUUUCAGUAGACCUGGUAUACAUCCUGUUAAAAAGAUAUAUUUGGGUGAAAAAAAAAAAAAGGUGAAAGAAGCAUGAGGUACAGAACUUACCUCACUGAGUUGGCAAUGUGUGAAGGGCAGAGUUUACUCCAGGUAGCAAAGAGUGUUUUACAGUUGCAUGCAGCCAACAUUACAACUGAACCAGUAGUUCUUCCAGUGCUUUUAUAAUUGUCCUUGUGCUUGCUUUUCAUAGCACCACAUGGAUCCCUGGGGCUUCUGCCAAGAAUCUGGGGUCUUGUUUAAGUGCAAUGUGUAUUCUCAGUUGAGGUUAGCUUACAGUGCAUCUUAUGUAAUUAUAAGCCAAAUACUUUUAUUUUUAUUUUUUUAUUGUUUAGAGAUGCUCCGGGCCAAGCAGCGUGUCCUUGUGAAAAUUUAGCAGCUACCAAAGCAAUGACUAAAAUGACUGCUUUGCAUAACGUCAGCAGUCAAAAGCCUUAAAAAGCUAAAUAAUACAAAACAUUAGUGGCUGCCCUUUCUCAUGCGUCUCAGCUACUUUAGCAGAUGUAAUAUUAUUAGCUUCUUCUGUUCACACUAAAUUAGAUAUGCAAUCAAGUAGGGGUAAGAGACAGAUUUACAGCAGAUGAAAAUGGCCUGUGAAAGCUUAUUCACAACAGCAAUUAGCAAUUGCUGAAACCUGAGGCAAACGAAGUGCCUUCUAAACAGGAAGAACUGCAGUUCUAGAACUGAAUUUGGAGCAGGUGGUUGGUGGCAACGUCUGGAACAGCUCACAGCCAAAUGACUGGAAAGGAGUUUUCCUGAUAUUUCAAGUGGUGGGAAUCUGUGCUCCAUAAAGGAUUUAUAACUGGCAGGUUUUAGAAAUAGUUGAGUGCAAACUGGUUCAGCACGGCAAGACCUUCUCUAUGCAACAGUUCUAGCUGGCUGCAAACCAUUUAAAUCAGUUAUGUGACUGCCCUCUCUGGCAAUAGUGUUUUGUUUUUGUUUUUUCCCUUGGUUUGGCAGACAUCUCUGAUUCAACCAGACUUUGUUUUGUUGAUGCUCUGGGUUUGCUAACUUAGUUCCAACUGGUUAAACCUGUGUCAUCAAGUUUAUUGAGACUGAUAAGAAUAAUGUUUGGUCUACAGAAGUUUGAAUUAGAGGAUGGUGAUGAGAAUCUCUCUGAACUCCCAAGAUUUGUUCAGAAAUCUUGGGCUGUCUUAUGGGUUAUCUUUGAAUAAGUCUUAAAGAAUUCCAAAAACGUGGCAUCCUUUCCCCAUAGACCAAUUAAAUAAAUAAAAUAGAAAUAACUCUGGCAAGUUAAUUUUUAACCAGGAAUGUUUUCUUUCCCAUUAUAGUUAUUCCAUUAUUUUAUUAUGUUUUUUGCAUUAUAAUUACUAAAUCACUUCACAAAAUGAAAAAUUGAGGGCUAGAUUCUUACUUGACAUAAAAAAAAAAUCAGUCUCAAGCUAUGAAGAAGGCUGAAAUCAAGGAGACCAUAGUGACUUACAAUAAAUAUUGAGGUAUUUUUGCCUCUUAAAAUGAUUUGUUACAGAUCAUGUGGACUGAUUGUCUUCUCUCAGUACUAUUUAAAACAAAAAUGCAAAAAUGGUAAGUCGUUGCACUAUGCUUUCUGUUUUGCCUCUUGUUAUUUUGGAGACAAAUUGAAGGAGCAGUAGACUGAUGUGAUAAAUCAGUCCAUUUACAUUUGGCAGAAUAAAAUUAGCGUUGCCGUUACCUCAUAAUGGGGCAUGGCUAUGAGUAUGGAAUUGAUUUCAGAGUAAAACUGAUCCAUUACAAUUUUGUUAAUAUUGAGUUUUAAAGAAAAUGAUGAAUUGCUGAUCAAUGCAGUUAAAGAAGCAACUUAGAAAAAACCCCACCAUUAUUCACUUUUUAAAUUUUGCCUUAGUCUUCCAUAUUAAGAAGUUACUUUAAAUGAUAUUACAAUUACACUAUGGACACUUCUGUAAUUCAGGAGAUAUUAUUUGAUGAAGAAAACAUGAAGUGUUUCACUCAUUUAUAGUCACUGUAAAUGUCAGCCAUUUUUGAUGCACUGUGCGUUUGCUUUGAAAAGAUGAACUGACACUGUUGGGAUGUUUCAUAUCAAGAACAAAAUAAUCUAUGCAAGGAAUGAAAUCUUCAUUAAUUCCUUCUUUGUACAGAAUAUGUAUAUAUUCUGAAUAUAUAUAUUUUUACUCUAUUAGGAAAAUAAUAGUAUACUUCUUAUUCUACCUUAUCUACAGAGCUUAGGUUUAUGAAUCUAUUGCAAACCCUAAGGAAAUUUUAGCCAUGAAUUUUGCUUUUUCCUACUUCCAACCUCUCUUCUGGUAGAGAAAUAUCUGUGAUGACAGAAGUAGAAAAAAGUAUUAAAUUGGACUCCCCCUGCCCAUAGACUGGGAUGACUGAGACAUCUCUUGUCCCGUGUAUAACAUCCUUCUCACAAAUCUGCACUAUCUAGAAGAGAAAUGGCAAUCUAAUAAUGCAGUGAUUGUUCAUUUUGGUGACCAGCAUCCUUCUUUUGUAGCAAAAGAGGACAGAGGUCGCCUCUAUUGGUCAGGAUUUUCAACAGCAAGUAAAUAUUUGUUAAUCAUUACCUUCCACACAACUUUAUUUCAGCGGUACUUUUCACAACUCUUGUAAUGAAAGUAAAAAAUAAUAAUAAAAAAUAUUGCAGCUUGCUAAAUUUACCGUGAAUUGAAAUCAAUUUCUAAAUCAAACUAAAUUUAUUAAGAGAGAACUUUUGAGAAGUGCACAUAAUCUUCCUUUUCACCUAGGAUAUUCUCUUUAACAUGGAUAGAAUAAUAAUUAUUAAUCAUGUCUCCAGUGAAUCCCCAGAAUGAAACACUGCUCCAAAACGAACACAAUGUGUUCAGUCUCUUGGAAGAAAUGAGGAAUAGGACUAAACAAGCUUUUAGUUCAUGCUGUGCAGUUUCAUUAAUGUAAGUGGGAGUCUCAGAGAUGUUCACUGACAACUGUUGGAGUGUGCUCUUGGGAAAUACUGGCACUCCUCAGAGAAGAGACGUGAAAAUCCUCUGCUUGAGCAAUUUUCCACAAGCACUGGGUUAUUCCACAAGCAUUCUUCUGAAACGAGAUGGGGCAUUCAACACACGUGAAAGUAGACAUACCACCAUCCUUUGUCAAAUAUUCUUGAACUUAAUCCAGCAAGCAGGCUUACCAGAAUAAGGUACUGCUUGGUCUUAGUAUCAUGGAAACAUUUUUGUCAUUCUGAUCUGCAAUGACACGGGAAAAAGUCCACUGCUGCUAAGGAGCACGGCUGUUUCACUGUGAAGAACCUUGGCAUUUAACCACUUUGAUGUGCUUUCAACCAUUUUGUGCAGAUAUAUUUUUCCCUGUAAUUACACUAUAGUUUUUUCCUCUUCAGAUGUUUGUCAGUGGAUUUUAAUGAUUUGCUUUGUGGAUUUAUGGAUCUUCAAAAUAGCCAAGUGGUAAUUUCUGCUCUGUAUAUAUGCUCUCCUUCAGUUUAUGCCACUGUAUGUUUGAAUAAACGGUAUUAGGCUCCUUUAGAAUUGCAGUCAUUUAAGUUUGAUGUUGGUAUUUCUAGUCAGAAAGAUAUAAACAAUAUACAUAUACUUACAAAUAUUCUUACAAGCUUCUUAGUAGACAGUAGAAAAACAAUGCUUCUGUAUUGCUUCAGUACGCAUGUGUAGCGGAGAUCUGGAUUUAUGCAUUCUUGGGGUCAUACAGGAGCAUUUGCUAAUGGGAAAUUCUCAUCACUGCUUUUGUAGAUCUGCUGUUUUUUCCAGUCUUUGAAGUACUGAAGGCAUCCUGAUCCCUACAUUUAUCUCGGACAAAAAUAAAAGUCUGAGUGUCCCUCUGAACUACCAGCUCUGGUGAAGCACUGCAGGUGACAGUGAGUUGAUAAUGGUCCCAGAAUUGGGAUUUGCAAUUUCCACAUUACUUGGCCAGUCUCUCACUUCAUAACUUGUCCUAUAAUAGGACUCUCGCUUGGUCUUCUCAGCAGGGCUAAUGUCAGGCAACUGGUGUAUUUGUAUAACAAUCCAUCCCAUCCCAUCCGUUUAGUCAGACAACUUAAGAAGAGUGGAUCAAAAUGGCCACUGAACCACAAGGGAUGACCACGCAGCAUUUUUCAAGGGAAGUUGUUUUUUCUCUAUCAGAAAUGAAUGGGCCAGAUGGAACAGUAUAUCAAAUAAUAAUUUCUUAAUCUAUACAAAAAAGGGUUUACAGAUUUGACAAUCUUUUCCUCUUAACUACAAAUAGAGAACUAAAUGCUUGUUUAAUUUGCAUUCAUCAUAAUUUCUACCUUUUCUACAGGAGUACAGAAUCUCUGUGUAGUCAAUUAAAACAGUAUCAUGCUAACAAAUCUAUCCCUUUGGGUAGCUCUCCAGUUGAGAUUGUGUCUCUAUUAACUAAGCACUAAAUUACUCCUGGAAAGUCAAAUAUAUGUUUCAGUAAGAUGAAAGCAUAUGUAUAUCGGGAGAUAUAUUUCUUUCAGAUUUUAGCUAUGGCUUCAGAACUUUUCUCCCUGCUCCUCAGAGCCACGCUUGGCACCAUGCCCAUCACUUGCUGUGCUUUUCACUACAGGAAAUCCUGACUUUCAGCAUCUCAAACAUUGGUCUAUUAAAAGGAUUCUUUAGUAGAGAGACUUUGGAAUUAUACAGCCUAGGACUGGAUUAUUCUCAUUGUGCUAGGAGCUCCUUAUGAGACUUUUGGACACCUUUGUCAUCCGGGUUAUAAGCAGUACCAGUUUUGCAUUUAUUAUUUUACUCAGUAUGUUUUAUUCUAUGCUGUUGGCUCAAGAUUUAGGUAGCACAUGCUUCGGAAGGCAGGUUGGACUUCUUUUCCAGGAAAUUGCUGGUUUGCUUUUCUUUGACUUUUUCCAACAGGUGUAGUCUGCACACUGAAGUCACACAGGUCUCUAACACUAUGUCACCGAGGAAUUGGCUGAUAUGCUCUGAGAAAAGCAUAUUAUAAUAUUGCCUCUGAUAUGCAACAUGAGUGGGAGCCCUGCUGAGGCAGGAGGGUUUGACUGACCUUUAUUCCUUCAGGCUGAAGGGUCAGAUCCGCAGGAUUCUCUUGUUAUAUUUUUGAACUUCUGUUAUUGGUUUUAUACUCGAAGUGGGGGAGGAUGCAAAAAAUGUGAAUUAUUGAGAGGGUUUGCAAUGUUUUUCUGAGGAACUGAAAACUAUUUUAGGAAUGCUAAGGAAGUAAUGAUAUUGUAUGUGGCAAAUGGGCCAUUCUCUUUUGUUGAAUGUGUUGGCUGAAGGCCUGUUAGAUGUGAAUGAGAGAGGCUAAGGCUUGUAGAUAGGGAUGUGUAUUAUUCUAGAUUGAGGUGAUAAUUCUUUCAACUGCUAAGCAUUUUUCACAUUAUUAGAGAUGUCCAAUGUUACUGAACUGCAGUGAAUUAUACUAAGAAUUUUAUAAACUCUGUCAAGUGAGAAUAUAUGUUAUAGCAUACGAUGUUUUCAGGUAGUGUUUCAGAUGAGUCUCUAAAGUAACAUCCUAUUGUUCAGAAAGUCAUCAAAAUCAGGGCCCUCGUGAUCGUUAUCAGCAAAUUAUUUGCAUUUCUUUUACUGAAGAAUCAGAGGAGGGAAGAAAAGGCAGAGAGAAGGAAAGAAAAAAAGCAGAGCUGCUUGGCAAAGGUUCUAAAACAAAGACGCAAGUGUAUUUAUGGUUAUAAUUUUGCACAGAUCAGUAGGUGCUCUAACACCAUGCUGCUGAUCACAACAUAAAUCACACUUUAAUUUUAACCUUUGCAAUUCAUCAAUAGUUUCCAUAUCAAAAAUAAUUCAGCACUGACACUAUUGGUUUACAGGUAAGUGGAACAAGAAUGGAGGAGACUUAGUAAUGGAUUAGUUGGCCUGUCAACAGAGACAGAAAGAUUCAUGUUGUCUUCUCUAUGUUUCUAUCACAUGCACAGAGCUAUAAAUAACAGUAACAGCUAAUCAGAUGCAGGAAAGAUAUAUGCUCUUACUGGAAACCAGGUUUUUGUACUGAGUUUUAAAAGUUUAGCCAGUGAGAGCGAGUCCAUUUUCAAAGAAGAGCAUUUGGCUACUUUUUGUGUGUAUGUGUGUAUCCAUAUCUAUUUAAAGUACUUGCAGUAGUAUAGUUUGCUUUUUUUUUCCUGCUGCGUGUGAAAAUACAUGAUUGUUUGCCUAGCUGUUGUGUUUCUUAGUCUAAACUUCUUCACUCUAACAAUGGAAUUUAGAACUACUUUCAACUAUGUCUGUUUCAAUUUUAAAGCAGACCCAGAAUUGUGCUCUCCAUUCUGAACCCAGCAAUUCAAUGGGAUGAACAGGCAACUAAAUGGUGGUUAAAACCAGUGGUUAAAACCACCACUAUGGUGGUGGCGUUAGUGAUAGAGCAGGUUCCUGCAAAAGCUGAUGGAUCUCUGCCCUUGUGGAUUCUCAAAAUGUUACUGGAUGUGACCAUGAAUAACCUGUUUGAGUGAGAGUGUGGAGCAGAUUAUGUCUAGAAGUUCUGAAUCAUUCUAUGAUUCUAUACUGAGACCUAUAACUCCUGGUAUUUCAAAUUAUUUCCUACCUUUUUUUCCUCUUCUUUUAUCCUAAACCUGGCUAAGAUUCCAUUAGAUUACAUCUAUCAGAGGCACAAAUGUCCUUGAAUGCUCUGCUUGAGAUGAAAAGCCCUUAAUGGGCUUCUACGGGUUUUAUUCUUCCUUGUGCUUUUUCGUUCUGUUGACUGAAUAUUUCCUGUCAUGCUGAAUCACUAUAUGAAAUUAUUAAAUCAAUGUUGAUAAUAGUAUUAAUUUCCCAUAUGCUAAACUUUAUAACCAGAAUAUUGGCAUGUACAUUCUAUUAAGUUUACAAUUUGUGGUACCGUGUCAAUAUGCUGGAAUGAAAAACACAGUGACAAAUCACUUCUAUGUUAAUACAACUGUGAGCAAGUCUACUUCUGUCUCCUACAUCCUCCCAGUCUUUAUAAUGGUUACUGAGUAAAUGCUAAAAUUGCUUAUUAGCACAAUGACACAUCCUUCAGAAGAGAUAAGGGUAUUUAAGACAAAUAGACAUGAUUGGAAAUGAGAUCACAAGAUACUUGGCUGCAUUUAUGAGAUUGCAGAAUGUUAGCACAAUGACAUGAAUGUGAGGUAGAAUUUUCCUUCAACCAAAGUGAUGCAUUCACCCAAAACACUUUUCCCUUUUCGUGUUUCAUAUUGAUUGCGAGUUACCUCCAUGGAAGGUCUGAUAAAGAAUUUCCCUAUAAGACUGUCCUAAACUCUAGGAGGAUAAAUGGUUUUGUUUUGCCUUGCUUUGUUUUAUACUUAGUUCUCUGUAAGUAUCGCAAAAAAAUAAAAUCAAGGAAUACAAAAUGUACAGCAAUGGUGGAUAGAAUGAUGCUCUAGCCAUAGUGCUCUCCCAUAUAUUCAAUAUACCCUAUAACUGCCUGCUGACAUCUGAAGGAGAUGUGAAAUUAUGUGUACAGUUCACAAUCUUUGUGAAAAAGAAAUGGCAAAUCGGACAGAGUGCUCGGGCAUGUAGAGGCUGCUCAUUCCUUGUCUUUAUAGCCGACAGAUCUAACUGAAGAGGACUUUCAGAAAGGUCCUGAACUUUGUUUUUUCACAAAUUACUGCCUUCUUGAAACCUGGCCAAAAUCAGUAGUAGAGAAAGGAGGAGUGUGUUUUAUUAUUUCUUUGGAGAAACACUGCAUAUUCACCUCUCCACACAGUAAUUGUACAUCACUUUUCUCCAACAUGUUUUAGAAAAAAAGGGCAUUCGAGAGUAAGAGGAAGAACAUAAUGUUUCAACAAGAUUAGUCUCAAGCUAGCUGAUUAUGUUAGGGGAAGAGCUUACUUUAGGUUCAGAAAAGCAGUGAGGCAGGUAUAUGAGAGCUGGACCAUGGAAAUUUGAGUUCACAGUUUCCUGCAGUAUUUGAUGUGGGUGGUAUAGACUGUAGGAAAUCAAGGACAGUCUAAACCAUAUCACAUAUCUAGGUAUCACAGUGCCUAACGUGAUAGAUCUUGGCUAGGAUCUACAGGUACAGUGCAGGUAAUAAUACAGCUCACUACCAGAAUUCCUAAUUUACGGUACUCUUUUAUGUAAAAGGAGGCAAAAAAUAACCCCAGAGCACGUUUUGGGUGUUGAUGAAUUACUAUAGGUACUGCAGUGCAAGAAAUCCGCAGAGCUGGAACAGCUGUUUGUUCUGAAGUGUGUUGGGUUUUUUGUUGCUUUUGUUUGUUCUUCAAAUCUUCACUAAAAAAAGGGGGGAAAUGCUGAUUCUUCUGGAAUGACUCCAGUGCUUGCCACUUCAUAUUGUUCAGUAGCAAGAUUACCAAAUCCUACAGUUCUUGCCUUUAAAAAAGUCGCUGAAAUCAUCUCCGCUCCAAAAGACCAGACCAUAAAUACCAAUGAGCUAGAUAAAGUCAAUGCAUCAUUUCCUGUCAUGUCCUAUAGCAUUUGCAGGUUUGCCUGGAAACAGUUUAGAUGGCAAUUUCAGGCUCGUAGUGCUAAAGCAGGAGUGUGGAUCUUGUCAAGACCCUGGAAAGAAGGAAGAAGUUGCUGAAAGUACAAGAUGGUUUAUAUUGAUCUUGUCUUGGUUCUGUUAUUUCUCUUCAACAUGUAGUUUUUUAACUGUUUCUCUUUGUUCACUGAGUCGCUAUUGCUAUCUGAAAAGGUAAUAUUUUCUUCUUGAGAUCCAUCAAGAGCAUAGCAUUAACUUUUUUCUUUCCUAGCCAUGGGUCAAUUUUACCAUUUACUGCUCUGUCACGGUGCUUCUCUCCAUAGGCACUACUGUAAAGGAGGCUUGAUCUUGCCUUUUAUUUGGGUAAUUCUCAUCACGUCUGAUGGUCCACCAGUUAGCAGUUCUAUCCAGAAGCCUACAGAUUCUGAGCCGUAUCUCCUCUGGCCCCACUGAUGGCAGGUAACUGGUGUUAUUAAGACAAGCAAAUCAUAUAUUUGGUUCCUUUAUGAUGAUCAAUGAUAUCCCUGCAUGGUCUCCCAGCAGCCUGGAAAGCAGCAGCAAGAAUGGGAGCAAACUAUGGUACAUGUACGAUCUCUGGCAUGCACUGAAAUUCAGCAGAAUGGGGCUGUUUUGGAGGAAAGUGAGGGAGCACUGCAGCCCCUGGGCCUGUGUGCCAGCUGUGCUCAGCAAGGAGAUCACUCUGAACACCAAAUGGUAUCUCCUAAACAGUGACAGCAGAUGUUAACCUAUGAUAAGGAAAGGAUCGAGACAUUAUUCUUUAGCAUGUUUUAUUACUGACUGUUGUAGAAAGGAUAUUGUGUUAACGCAGUGGGAAAAUCUGCUUCCAUGUUCCUGUGUGUUAUCAGCUAUCACUGCCCUUGCUUGUAAAACAUUAAAUCACUUGUGAAAGGUGGGAGAUUAAUAAGAGGUGUUUUAGCCUCCUCUUCAUUUCUUGAAGCACAAGCAGCAUGAUGUGUAAGGGUGACUAAAAGCAGGAAAUGAGCUGUUUGCUACAUCUAUCACUCCCUGAAAGGAAGCUUCAGUAGAGUCAAUGAUGGUUCAGACCCUGACACAUUCAAAUAAGUCACAUGCCACAUGUACAUCGGCCUGUCUUUAGAAAUUAGCUUCUAACUUGUGCCAGCUCCAGUGAUUUUAAUGAGUUCACACUGGAAAUCACCCCAAAGCCCAUUGGCAGCAGCAAUGCAGCGUGGUCCCCAGCAAUGUGCCAGCAGCCCAUGCUGCCCUGCAUGUGCUGGUGUGCUAUAAGAGCCCACACGGGGUACUAAUGCAAUCUCUUUCACUGUUUACUCUGUGCCAUGCAUUUUGUUGGAUCUUGAAUGAACACAUUUAUGUUCAAAGCUCUCCUUGGGCUAAGGAAGAAUGGAUUUUAAACUCCUGCAAGUGGCAAGUUUCUUGUGUUCUAUUUAUGAGGUUUCUGGCUGCUCCAAACCUGCUGAUGCAAUCCUGCCCAUUGCUCUACACUCUUGUGUUGUGCAUCUUUAAUUUCACUUACAGCAGUUUUGGUGCAGAUGCUCAUGAAGGUGAGGGGACACUUCAUGCAAUCAGUAUGAUCAGUGCAGAGCUCCAGAUCUGAGAAGGAACUCUUAAAACCUGUUGGAAGUUAUGCAGGAUCCCUCUGUCCUUUUAGUUUGCAGGAGGUUUCAGCAAUGUUGCCAGCUCUCGCCUGUUUCAGUACCCAUCGUUGCAGUGGUACUGUGUAUGUCCUAGGACUGAUGCUUCUACAAAGCUCUGCAACAGCAGUGGAACUUAUGUCUUAUUUCAGGAGAAGGUGGCUCUUUAGCAGUCCUUUUAUCACCAACUGUUGUCAUAGCAGGAAGCCUUUUUCAGGCUCUUUAAAGGUAGUAAGGCUUUUUCUCUGCCUCUCUCUGUCUGCCAGCCACCUUCAGUGUUCUGUCUUCCCACAGGUCCUUCCAUGCCAGGCAAUCACUGCCAUUAAGACAAAGUACUCUCUUUCAGGGGACAGCAGCAUGGAAAAAGGAAAAAAAAAAAAAAAAAAAAAAAGAGAAGAAGAAAAAGAAAUGAAGAAAAGAACAGACUAUUUCUUUGCAAAGGGCAGCUGUCUUUUACAAAGGAUAAAAAAUGUUGCCAGAUGUGCUUAGCAACGUUAUUAAUCAAUCUGUGGAGACGUCUUUCUUCGUCUUUCUCUUUGUGGGAAGAAUCUUUAGAAGGAAACAAAGCAAGGCAGAGGAAGAAAUACAAACGUCUGCAACCACAGACAGGGAGUUACUUCUCUUUAAGUCAGUCCUCCUGAUUUCAGUGGAAACUUUUAGAGAGAAGUUAUGCUUUCUGUUUAAGUUCAUAACAAAUGUAGGCUUUGAGUGUUUACAGGUUUGGCUGUUUAACGACAGUCUCCUAUUUUUUUGAGGGGUGGUUCCACAUAGCAUCGGGAUAACAGUAAUCACAUUUAAGUGGCUGUUUGCUUCUGACCACAUCCUCCAUUGAAGAUCAUCUCUGCCAUUAAAAGUUUCUACAAAUGCCACUGUUUUCAAUGAAAAAAAUGGGUAUCAAAUCCAAGAGUUUAUUCUUUGCUGAGAACUACUUAGUUUUUGAGAACUGUAGAGAAGUGCAUAUCAACAUAUCAAAGUAUUUUACAAACUUUGUAAAGUAAGGAGCUAACAUUUUACUGACGAUUGUUUUAGGCACACACUCAGUUUGAGUCUCUCACCUGUAUUCCCAAGGCAAAGACUGCUUUUCCUCUCCUGUGUGGUUGUUGUUUGGUCCUAUGCACGUGUCCUCCGAAGGCGUAUCCCUGAUGCUUUUCGGUGUGAACAGAAAAUGCUCUCGCCAGCAUGGAUGGGAUUUUCUAGUUUCUUUGUCCAGUGUUAAUGAUCACUCCCACUGCUGAGAGAGAAUAAUGGAGGGUGGAAGAAUCUUUCUGCAUCUAUAAAACAGAAAUGUAAAUAUUCAAAGAAAGAAAGAAGUGUUUGUGCACAGAACAGAGUGUUAAUUUCUACUAGAGCCUUUAUUGAACUGUCCCUGCGAUGCCAGUAAAACAAACUAAAAAUGUUCUGUUUUCUAUUUUAUUUUCAUGUUGUUUAAAAAUGUUACCAAUAUCCUCGAGGACUCUGUUCCUGGGUUGUGGUUUCUGUGACUGUAUCACACUUGGAAGUGAGGCUGACGGUCAAUAACUCUAUGGGAAGGGACUCAUUAACAUCAUUAACAUCGAGGACAGUGAUUAAUAAAUGCAAUAUCUGAACACA
Molecule: long non-coding RNA, 21885 nt
Organism: Gallus gallus (chicken)
Lineage: Eukaryota; Metazoa; Chordata; Aves; Galliformes; Phasianidae
Exons: 13
Source: RefSeq, a predicted model, not a curated record